UAAACGACGUGGGGUAACCUGCCUUAUACAGGGGAGUAACAGUCAGAAAUGGCUGCUAAUACCGCAUAAGCGCACAGAGCUGCAUGGCUCAGUGUGAAAAACUCCGGUGGUAUAAGAUGGACCCGCGUUGGAUUAGCUGGUUGGUGGGGUAACGGCCCACCAAGGCGACGAUCCAUAGCCGGCCUGAGAGGGUGAACGGCCACAUUGGGACUGAGACACGGCCCAG
Molecule: ribosomal RNA, 226 nt
Filed under: uncultured bacterium
Lineage: Bacteria
Description: partial 16S ribosomal RNA
Rfam family: Bacterial small subunit ribosomal RNA
Source: RNAcentral